CAGCAGCCGCGGUAAUACGAGGGGGGCAAGCGUUGUUCGGAAUUAUUGGGCGUAAAGGGUGCGUAGGCGGUUCAGCAAGUCUCGUGUGAAAUCUUCGGGCUCAACCCGAAGUCUGCACGGGAAACUACUGGGCUUGAGUAAUGGAGAGGUGAGUGGAAUUUCCGGUGUAGCGGUGAAAUGCGUAGAUAUCGGAAGGAACACCUGUGGCGAAAGCGGCUCACUGGACAUUUACUGACGCUGAUGCACGAAAGCUAGGGGAGCAAACAGGAUUAGAUACCCCGGUAGUCCCUGUCUCUUAUAA
This 301-nucleotide ribosomal RNA is filed under the name uncultured bacterium. RNAcentral describes it as "partial 16S ribosomal RNA". It matches the Rfam family "Bacterial small subunit ribosomal RNA", at positions 509 to 809 of the family's 1533-position model. The record is from RNAcentral.